RNAcentral lists this ribosomal RNA (850 nucleotides) under uncultured fungus. RNAcentral's name for it is "SSU rRNA". It matches the Rfam family "Eukaryotic small subunit ribosomal RNA", at positions 353 to 1192 of the family's 1831-position model. Lineage: Eukaryota; Fungi. The record is from RNAcentral.
UGACGGGUGACGGAGAAUUAGGGUUCGAUUCCGGAGAGGGAGCCUGAGAAACGGCUACCACAUCCAAGGAAGGCAGCAGGCGCGCAAAUUACCCCAAUCCUGACACAGGGAGGUAGUGACAAGAAAUAACAAUACCGGGCCUUUUCAGGUCUGGUAAUUGGAAUGAGUACAAUUUAAAUCCCUUAACGAGGAUCUACUGGAGGGCAAGUCUGGUGCCAGCAACCGCGGUAAUUCCAGCUCCAGAAGCGUAUAUUUAAAUUGUUGCUGUUAAAAAGCUCGUAGUUGGAUUUCUGGUGUGGUGCGGCUGGUCCGUCGCCGAUAGGCGGUCGAGUACUGGCGUUGCGCCUACCAUCCCUUCUGGAGAGGCCGACUGCACUUCAUUGUGUGGUUGGAACCACCGAUCCAGAUCGUUUACUUUGAAAAAAUUAGAGUGUUUAAAGCAGGCGUCAGCCACUGAAUACAUUAGCAUGGAAUAAUGAGAUAGGACUUUGGCCCUAUUUUGUUGGUUUCUAGGACUGAAGUAAUGAUUGAUAGGGACAGUUGGGGGUGCUAGUAUUUAACGGCCAGAGGUGAAAUUCUUGGAUUCGUUAAAGACUAACUAAUGCGAAAGCAUUCACCAAGGAUGUCUUCUUUAAUCAAGAACGAAAGUUGGGGGAUCGAAGACGAUCGGAUACCGUCGUAGUCUCAACCAUAAACUAUACCGACUAGGGAUCAGCGGACGUUGUUUUUUCGACUCCGUUGGCACCUUGUGAGAAAUCAAAGUCUUUGGGUUCAGGGGGGAGUAUGGUCGCAAGGCUGAAACUUAAAGGAAUUGACGGAAGGGCACACCAGAAGUGGAGCCUGCGGCUUA